This 74-nucleotide transfer RNA is filed under the name Chitinophaga sp. CF118. Its description in RNAcentral is "tRNA_Arg_ACG". It matches the Rfam family "tRNA". From Rfam's summary of the family: Transfer RNA (tRNA) molecules are approximately 80 nucleotides in length. Lineage: Bacteria; Pseudomonadati; Bacteroidota; Chitinophagia; Chitinophagales; Chitinophagaceae. The record is from RNAcentral.
GGCUUCGUAGCUCAACUGAAUAGAGCAUCUGACUACGAAUCAGAAGGUUUCUGGUUUGAAUCCAGACGAGGUCA